UAGUGGCGAACGGGUGAGUAACACGUGAGUAACCUGCCCUUAACUCUGGGAUAAGCCUGGGAAACUGGGUCUAAUACCGGAUAUGACUCCUCAUCGCAUGGUGGGGGGUGGAAAGCUUUAUUGUGGUUUUGGAUGGACUCGCGGCCUAUCAGCUUGUUGGUGAGGUAAUGGCUUACCAAGGCGACGACGGGUAGCCGGCCUGAGAGGGUGACCGGCCACACUGGGACUGAGACACGGCCCAGACUCCUACGGGAGGCAGCAGUGGGGAAUAUUGCACAAUGGGCGCAAGCCUGAUGCAGCGACGCCGCGUGAGGGAUGACGGCCUUCGGGUUGUAAACCUCUUUCAGUAGGGAAGAAGCGAAAGUGACGGUACCUGCAGAAGAAGCGCCGGCUAACUACGUGCCAGCAGCCGCGGUAAUACGUAGGGCGCAAGCGUUAUCCGGAAUUAUUGGGCGUAAAGAGCUCGUAGGCGGUUUGUCGCGUCUGCCGUGAAAGUCCGGGGCUCAACUCCGGAUCUGCGGUGGGUACGGGCAGACUAGAGUGAUGUAGGGGAGACUGGAAUUCCUGGUGUAGCGGUGAAAUGCGCAGAUAUCAGGAGGAACACCGAUGGCGAAGGCAGGUCUCUGGGCAUUAACUGACGCUGAGGAGCGAAAGCAUGGGGAGCGAACAGGAUUAGAUACCCUGGUAGUCCAUGCCGUAAACGUUGGGCACUAGGUGUGGGGGACAUUCCACGUUUUCCGCGCCGUAGCUAACGCAUUAAGUGCCCCGCCUGGGGAGUACGGCCGCAAGGCUAAAACUCAAAGGAAUUGACGGGGGCCCGCACAAGCGGCGGAGCAUGCGGAUUAAUUCGAUGCAACGCGAAGAACCUUACCAAGGCUUGACAUGAACCGGUAAUACCUGGAGACAGGUGCCCCGCUUGCGGUCGGUUUACAGGUGGUGCAUGGUUGUCGUCAGCUCGUGUCGUGAGAUGUUGGGUUAAGUCCCGCAACGAGCGCAACCCUCGUUCUAUGUUGCCAGCACGUGAUGGUGGGGACUCAUAGGAGACUGCCGGGGUCAACUCGGAGGAAGGUGGGGACGACGUCAAAUCAUCAUGCCCCUUAUGUCUUGGGCUUCACGCAUGCUACAAUGGCCGGUACAAAGGGUUGCGAUACUGUGAGGUGGAGCUAAUCCCAAAAAGCCGGUCUCAGUUCGGAUUGGGGUCUGCAACUCGACCCCAUGAAGUCGGAGUCGCUAGUAAUCGCAGAUCAG
RNAcentral lists this ribosomal RNA (1248 nucleotides) under Arthrobacter sp. D5-13. Its description in RNAcentral is "bacterial SSU rRNA". It matches the Rfam family "Bacterial small subunit ribosomal RNA", at positions 93 to 1352 of the family's 1533-position model. The record is from RNAcentral. Lineage: Bacteria; Bacillati; Actinomycetota; Actinomycetes; Micrococcales; Micrococcaceae.